This is a long non-coding RNA of Lates calcarifer (barramundi perch), 2442 nucleotides long. RefSeq lists it as uncharacterized. Lineage: Eukaryota; Metazoa; Chordata; Actinopteri; Centropomidae. The transcript has 3 exons. The record is from RefSeq and is a predicted model, not a curated record.
AACAAAUACUGCUUAGUCACAGUGCGACUCUCCUGACAGCCUCAGAGACACAACAGCUUUUUUCAGUCGCGCAGCCAACACGUUCUGCCACUUCAUGGUCCUCACUUGUUACUGGCUCAGUGAAUGACAGAGCUGAGGCGACACACUGUUAUGAAGCUCAGCACCAACACACGCAGCACACAGCACAAGGGCUUCCGUGUUGAGUUGACAAGUGACAGCGGCACCGUGUCCUCAGAUGAAGCGACAAAAGCAGGACACAUGAUGAUCAGCAGACAGCAGCACACAGCAUGAGAUAACAUGCUAAUGCUAACGGUAUAUGUACAGUAUAUCUGCAGUGUUCCAACUAAUUUAAUGUCCUAAAGACCUCUUUUAUACCACAGAGAAUGUAAAUCCCUGCUCCACAACCAGACUGGUCGAUGAGCAAUGAAAACAAUUAGUUAGUUGUAAGUUAUUUUUAAGUACAUGAACUUAUUGAUGUCUCUGUCACAUGAGGACUUUCCAGCUGCAUGUAACAGUAUAAGUAAUAAUGGAUUAACAUGACAUUAACAUAACACGUAAAAGGAAGAGAUAUCUAGAGACCUUCCUAGUUCCAUAGUGAUAACGGACAGUACUUGGAACAUUAGGCAAAGUAAAUAUGAUUUUACAGCCUCCUAGUUUGAAUAAGAAGAUGACUGCUGUUGAGCAAAGCACCCUCAUGCUCUACAACUUUCAUUCUAACCCUAACCACGACUAUGGGAACAACUUCCUCAAAAGAUGCCUGAAGUACAGCAGCACUCACUGUUAACACACUUUCUAAAAACAUACCUAAUAAUGGAAAUUGUUGAAAAUGUUAGUUUAUCACAGUGGCAGUCAACAUUAAGCCUGUGCAGAAAGUGUCUCUACUGAAAGCUCUGGUCUGACUCUUCUCCAGGUUAUUAGCAUAUCACCAACACACAACCCAAUCAUUUCACUGCCAGCUAACAUCACUCUGCUCACAAAUCCCUCCCUCCCCCUCCUCCUCCUUUCUACUCUCUACCUUUGGUCACAGUGGCUGACUGGCUGACUGUCCAAAGGUCCUCUCUGCCAGAAAAUGUCCCUGUAGUUGCUGCAGUCGCACGAGGACAAACCCCACAAACAGCAUAGAAAAAUGAGCAAUCAUGGAUCUCUGAGCCCUCAGAGCCUCCUGGUAUGAAAACAAGAAAACAACUGAGGAGUCACAAUCAGGUUUCACUGGAAGCAAGGGGAGGACAGAACAGGCCAGAUAAGAAGAGAGACAGUAAGAUGACAUCACUGAUUAUGUAACAGUUAUAUAUAUAUAUAUAUAUAUAUAUAUAUAUAUAUCUUAUAUCACCCUGUCAGUCAGGUCAGAGUCUGUAUUUCCCAAGAGAAGAAAAGGCUGAAGAGCAGCAGAAUGGAGAACAAGAGGAAGGCCAGCAUGCUGGAAGAAGACUUUGAGAGUCUCUCUGACUUACUACACAGCGAAAGUAAGUCACUGACGGAGGAGAUCUACGAGGAAUUUCUCCUACACUUCAAGGAGGACAAACAAAAGUUCAAGAGCUACGAGAAGCUGCUUGAAAUGCUGAAAGACAACAAACAAGAGACAGUGGCCUCCCCGCCUAACAAAUGAAUAAAUAAAUUAAUAAGCAUGAAAAAAAAAAUCUAUUUUCUAUUUUCUUGAAAUAAAUAUUUCUAUUUUCUCGACGGCCACUCAUCCAUUUGAUAUAAAACUUGGUGGGUGGGUUGCUGAAGCCCCAGGCAAGAGCCAACAAAUCCUCCAACCUCAACAAUCACACAGGAAGCUUAUUCCUGUCCUCAGGUACAACCCACAGAAGCAUACCAGCAGCGCACUGGAGCUUCAUCGUCCUGUGGAACGAUCUCAGUUUGGUAAGGCUUAGGCAUAAAAAGUACUUGGUUAGUUUUAGGAAAAGAUCAAUGUUUGCAAUAAAAUUGGUUGUGGAGUGGUCAUGGGUUAAAGAAACAACAAUGACUACAGGGUUUGAACAGGAACUGAACAGUGGUCUCUUGUGUGAAAGACCUGUAUUUUUGACCAAUCCAUCCAUCCCAACCUCCUCCUAAUGCAAACUUUGUUGCCCUUUAUACUGCAUCACCCACUUUGUUGCCCUCAUAAUUACUACAGCCACUAGAUGUUGCUUAACUAAAAAACAUAACUAUAAGUUGUAAUAAGCUGCUGCACAAAUGACCUGUGUGCUAUUUUUGUCCUGGAGGACAGUUUCAACUGUGACCCAAAGCCAACUGACAGAGGGUUCUGUGGCAUCACAAGUGUUAACAUUACAAUGUGAUGAUAGGUGCUUUUGACUUUAUGCAGCACUGCGCAGCACUGACUUGGCAUGCUGUAUGCUGGGCUUAGAACAAUGCAUGCAUUAGAAAUUUUGUCUGCCUUUGGUUGACACUGCACAACAUCAUCACGUAACAUGACAUUAAAAACUUGCAGGUACAAAGCUC